CUCACUAUAGUUUAUUAAAAACAUCGACCUGCAAAAUCGAAAAAGGAGUAUGUCUUCCUAGUGUGU
RNAcentral lists this transfer RNA (66 nucleotides) under Profundiconus teramachii. RNAcentral describes it as "tRNA-Cys". The record is from RNAcentral. Lineage: Eukaryota; Metazoa; Mollusca; Gastropoda; Neogastropoda; Conidae.